GAUGAACGCUGGCGGCGUGCCUAAUACAUGCAAGUCGAGCGAACGGACGAGAAGCUUGCUUUUCUGAUGUUAGCGGCGGACGGGUGAGUAACACGUGGAUAACCUACCUAUAAGACUGGGAUAAAUUCGGGAAACCGGAGCUAAUACCGGAUAAUAUUUUGAACCGCAUGGUUCAUAAGUGAAAGACGGUCUUGCUGUCACUUAUAGAUGGAUCCGCGCUGCAUUAGCUAGUUGGUAAGGUAACGGCUUACCAAGGCAACGAUGCAUAGCCGACCUGAGAGGGUGAUCGGCCACACUGGAACUGAGACACGGUCCAGACUCCUACGGGAGGCAGCAGUAGGGAAUCUUCCGCAAUGGGCGAAAGCCUGACGGAGCAACGCCGCGUGAGUGAUGAAGGUCUUCGGAUCGUAAAACUCUGUUAUUAGGGAAGAACAUAUGUGUAAGUAACUGUGCACAUCUUGACGGUACCUAAUCAGAAAGCCACGGCUAACUACGUG
RNAcentral lists this ribosomal RNA (497 nucleotides) under uncultured bacterium. Its description in RNAcentral is "partial 16S ribosomal RNA". It matches the Rfam family "Bacterial small subunit ribosomal RNA", at positions 28 to 507 of the family's 1533-position model. The record is from RNAcentral.